RNAcentral lists this ribosomal RNA (428 nucleotides) under uncultured bacterium. RNAcentral describes it as "bacterial SSU rRNA". It matches the Rfam family "Bacterial small subunit ribosomal RNA", at positions 354 to 796 of the family's 1533-position model. The record is from RNAcentral.
GUAGGGAAUAUUGCACAAUGGAGGAAACUCUGAUGCAGCGACGCCGCGUGAGUGAUGAAGGCCUUCGGGUCGUAAAGCUCUGUCGCAGGGGAAUAACACAAUGAAGGUACCCUGUAAGAAAGGAUCGGCUAACUUCGUGCCAGCAGCCGCGGUAAGACGAGGGAUCCUAGCGUUGUUCGGAAUCAUUGGGCGUAAAGCGGAUGUAGGUGGCUAUGUAAGUCAGAUGUGAAAGCCUGGGGCUCAACCCCAGAAGUGCAUUUGAUACUGCGUAGCUUGAGUGUCGGAGAGGUUACUAGAAUUGUUGGUGUAGUGGUGAAAUACGUAGAUAUCAACAGGAAUACCGGAGGCGAAGGCGGGUAACUGGCCGAACACUGACACUGAGAUCCGAAAGCGUGGGGAUCAAACAGGAUUAGAUACCCCGGUAGUUC